RNAcentral lists this ribosomal RNA (483 nucleotides) under uncultured bacterium. RNAcentral's name for it is "partial 16S ribosomal RNA". It matches the Rfam family "Bacterial small subunit ribosomal RNA", at positions 28 to 507 of the family's 1533-position model. The record is from RNAcentral.
GACGAACGCUGGCGGCGUGCUUAACACAUGCAAGUCGAACGCUGAAGCUCAGCUUUUGUUGGGUGGAUGAGUGGCGAACGGGUGGGUAACACGUGAGUAACCUGCCUCCUUCUUUGGGAUAACGCCCGGAAACGGGUGCUAAUACUGGAUAUUCACUGGUCUUCGCAUGGGGGUUGGUGGAAAGGGUUUUUCUGGUGGGGGAUGGGCUCGCGGCCUAUCAGCUUGUUGGUGGGGCGAUGGCCUACCAAGGCUUUGACGGGUAGCCGGCCUGAGAGGGUGACCGGUAACAUUGGGACUGAGAUACGGCCCAGACUCCUACGGGAGGCAGCAGUGGGGAAUAAUGUACAAUGGGCGCAAGCCUGAUGCAGCGACGCCGCGUGAGGGAUGGAGGCCUUCGGGUUGUGAACCUCUUUCGCUCAUGGUCAAGCCGCAACAAUGGUUGUGGUGAGGGUAGUGGGUAAAGAAGCGCCGGCUAACUACGUG